CAGCCCUAAACGAUGCGCGUUAGGUGUAUCGGUGACCACGAGUCACCGAGGUGCCGAAGGGAAACCGUGAAACGUGCCGCCUGGGAAGUACGGUCGCAAGGCUGAAACUUAAAGGAAUUGGCGGGGGAGGCACCACAACGGGUGGAGCCUGCGGUUUAAUUUGGACUCAACGCCGGGAAGCUCACCGGAUAAGACAGCGGAAUGAUUGCCGGGCUGAAGACCCUGCAUGACCAGCUGAGAGGUGGUGCAUGGCGUCAGUGACU
RNAcentral lists this ribosomal RNA (263 nucleotides) under uncultured archaeon. Its description in RNAcentral is "partial 16S ribosomal RNA". It matches the Rfam family "Archaeal small subunit ribosomal RNA", at positions 748 to 1008 of the family's 1478-position model. The record is from RNAcentral.